Mercenaria mercenaria is the source of this 2552-nucleotide RNA transcript. It is a transcript of the gene named protein delta homolog 1-like, with no coding region annotated. The transcript has 7 exons. Lineage: Eukaryota; Metazoa; Mollusca; Bivalvia; Venerida; Veneridae. The record is from RefSeq and is a predicted model, not a curated record.
UUGUUUCAAUUAGUUAAUGCAUAAAUCGAAACUUAUCAUUUAAAAUGUACCUUAUAAAAUCAAAUUUUGUUAAGAUGGAAUAUGGACAAGUUUUACUUUUCUUUAUAUCGAUGUCUGGAUUAAACGCGUAUACACCAAUUGGAUAUCUUGGAUGUUUCGAUGACUCGUCAGUACAAAACCCAAACCUUGAUAUUAAAUUGUCUACUUCUAAUACGAACAGUGGCGAAGAGUGUAUGCAGCGUUGCAGCACCAAAGGAUACAGAUAUGCAGGAACCAAAAUUGCCCGGCAGUGUCAUUGUGGUACAAGGAUCAAGAAUAACCAGCAAACAUCUGGGUGUGUUGUUGAAUGCACCGGCAGGAUUGAUGAAUAUUGCGGUGGACCUUUGCAGAUUUCUAUCUACGACACAUGGCAGUGUGUUAGAAAGCCGUGUCAAAAUAAUGCCAGCUGUAACGACAUUGAUUCACGUACUUACACUUGUAGCUGUAUAGAUGGAUGGCAAGGAGAAAACUGUACUCAGGACGUUCAAAAACCUCCCGCGUCUUCAACCUCAGUAGCAACUUCAAUAAGGCAAACAGAUAAAGAGAUUUCAAAAUCUUCAGUGUUUUAUACAACACAGGCUUCUUCGGUAUUGCCUUAUACAGAAGUUCAAAAAUCAAACGCGUCUUCAACCUCAGUAGUAACUACAGUAAGGAAAACGAACGAAAAGAUUUCAAUCUCUUCAGUAUUCUACACAACACCAGACAAUUCAAGAACAUCAAUUCCAACAUCUUCAGCAUUACCUUAUACAUACUCAGUCAGUACCAAUAUGACGAAGUUAACUACAAACGCUAGACCUGAUACAGAAGACGGAAACGAAGUAUCAAACGAAGACACGAUAGAGAUCGCCCUCAGAACGAGUACACUCAUUAUGAUGACUUAUACAAUUCGGGAGGCUAUUCACAGCCAUAUUAUACAGCCAUGUCCAGUGGAAAUGAAGUCAUAAAUGGGAUACAGUUGACAACUUUUCAUAACACGGACCUAUACGUGAUAAAUAAUGGUAUAGGCCAGGAAGAUGUGUCAUAUAUUACACCUCGUUAUGAAUCGACCUCGGAUACAUCUAACGCUGAAUAUACAUAUAUUGAUGAAACACGGUUAUCCAAAACAGCAGGGUAUACAUAGAACAGAACAGAAUAGAAUAGAACAGAACAAAAAACAGACAAAUAUAAAGUCCGUAAACUAUUGACUCAUCCAUAAGGGAAUAUAUUAUGUUCUGAUCAAGUGCUUUAGUUGAUACUGAUGAAAUCAUAUGAUGUCAUUUCAGAACAAAAGAAGAACAGAUUACAAAAUUGUUUAAGUCUUAUUUGGAUCUGUGUCGUUACAGUGAUCGAUUAAACAAAGUAAAAAGAAUGUCCUGUUAAUUGUACAUUAAACUGUGUUGUUAUCAUCUUUGGUCAUCUGACGUCCUGUAGUCUUAUUAUAGAGUUAAGUUUAAGCUGGUGUUAGUGUAAGGGGCAUUGGGGAAGCUGCUUAAGUCAUUACCGCUGAUGAACAAAAUUGAUCGAACUUAGCUUGCAGUUAUUUUAAUAGUUCUAUUGUCUAUUCUAACACUCAUUUAUUAAAUCACCAUCUGAACUGGUGAUCUGUUUUAAGACCAGCUGUUUUUACUGCAAUAUGGACCUUUACUUCAUAUGUCUCUGAGGGGGGAUGGGGGGAGUAUGUUAUAAUGUUGAGAGAACUUGUUACCCAACCCUUUUGCAGAUACCGUUGUUAAGUGUAUUUGAGAUGUACAUAAUGUAUAGAUUGCUAUGCAAUAAAAUAUGUUUAAACUAACUAUAUGUCUCUGUGAUCUUACAACUAUAUGUCUCUGUGAUCUCCCUUAAGGUCCGGUAUCCCUUCAGCAAUCGAUUCACUGGACAAGUCCGAUAUCAGUUAACCAUCAAAAUUAGUUUACAUAAUUUGAUAUGUGAUUAAUAAAUUUUAUAUUGAGUAUUCCUUAAUAGUUCUGGGCUAUUAAGUAAAAUAAAUAUAAAUGAAAUUUAUUUCUGAUAUCUUCGGACCUUGGACAAUAGUUCUGGCUACUGACCGGAGAAUCCUUCAAAAUGCUAAAAGGCUGCAAUUUUGUAGACAGGCAAAAAAUGGUAAUAAAGGCGUAUUCCCGAUAACCUAACCAUAAUUUGCUUCUAUACACACGAAAUAAAAUACGAACGUGUUGUUUACACACACUCUAGAACAAAUAUUAAUGAAUUUGAUGUAUAUCUUUCCUGUUUACGCUCCAUAUACCAAUGAUCUGCGUCAUACAACUAUAGAUAUAUACAUUUAUAAGCACAAUUAAUUAAAUUGUUACAAAAUGGGACACAUGUGUUUCUUAAUGAUAUGUCUGGCAAUAUAUACAAUGGGAGUAAGGUCACCAUGUUUGCUACUUUCAGCGUAUGUGCCGAAGGGAUACUUAGGCUGUUAUGAGGGCAAGCUUGCACGAAUCCUCGACAUUAAGUUAAAGAGCAGUGAAAGCAACAGUGGGGACGAAUGUAAAAUUCGAUGUAGUUCCAGAGAAUACAGAUAUGCUGGAACUGAG